Molecule: non-coding RNA, 692 nt
Organism: Podarcis lilfordi (Lilford's wall lizard)
Lineage: Eukaryota; Metazoa; Chordata; Lepidosauria; Squamata; Lacertidae
Source: the annotation of a GenBank genome assembly
AUGGGUUUAGCUCUAUUGCACCAUGGCUAACAUGCAGCUACUGAGUUUUCUUUUAAAUUAGGCAUUUGCUAGUUCAGCCAAUGCCUUACAGCAGAACAAUCCCUGUUUUUUCCUUACAGCAACCCAUAAACAAGCUACACACCCUUGACUUGCAAAGCUGGAGUCAUUUCGUUCCUCUUAGUGUUUCAAGCACACACCAGCCACUGCAGUAAGUCAUGUGAGAAUGUUUUGAAUUCUUUAUAAAAGCACAAUCUGCGCUGUCUCUCCCCAUCUCUUACUAAGAAACAUGUGAUUUGAAAAGAGUACUGUGUCUCCACGGAGGAGUUGUCACGCAUGACAUUUAGUUGCAAGACAAUUGUUCUGACCCUCUGCUUUGUUCACAGAACGUCACCUUCUCUCUGUGACUUGCAGACGUCAAAGUGUUGUUUACUGACUGACUUGCUGGGCUGAGGGAAGUAAAACAAACAAACGGACCAAAACUGCUGAUGCCACAAUUUAGUCUUCUCACGGGUGUCUGAAGUUUUUGCAAGAGGAAUGUGAGGCUUCAGUGUUCUCCUUUUGAAUGAGUACUGAAGACAACCAAUCUUUCAUUGUUGUUCUGUGUUUUCCAAUCCUGUACUGAUCAACAGUUCUCAGACAUUGCAUUGUCAAGUUAUCCUGGUGAACAUUUAUUUAUUGUGCUCAUUCUAAAG